RNAcentral lists this long non-coding RNA (1267 nucleotides) under Malus domestica (apple). RNAcentral describes it as "long non-coding RNA (MDOM_LNC007127)". Lineage: Eukaryota; Viridiplantae; Streptophyta; Magnoliopsida; Rosales; Rosaceae. The record is from RNAcentral.
UGGGAGCUGCAAGCUUCACGUGCUCAACUUUGGCAGAGAACUUUGGCAAAGUUAUCUGUGGUACCCAUGAGCUACUGUUGCGUGUGGGAAGUGGGUGAUUGAACAGUAAGAUUCAUGUGCUUUCUACUUCACCAGAAUGCCCAUAAUUUCCGCAAAGCUGAGUGUGCGUGUGACAGGUGCUGACAAGGCUGGAAAAGUAGGUGCCUCUUCGAUUUCUGAGAUCGGCCCUCAUGGUCUCUGAGCAGCCCAGCUUUUGAGAAAGCAAGUGCCUCUUCGAUUUCUGAGAUCGGCCUUCGUGGUCUUUGAGCAUCCCAACUUUUGAGAAAGAAAACGCCUCUUCGAUUUCUGAGAUCAACCCUCGUGGUCUCUGAGAGUAAAGGUUGGACAAGUUUGCUAGUCUACCUUGCCAUGAAGCACAGAGGUUGACACACAGGGAAUUUCCAAUUAUCCAGCAAUGGUACUGUUCCUUUACCCUUAUGGGUAAUAAUAUGGUAGCUAGACCUUCAAAAUUUAUGUGUCUAAACUUUGUUAGUGCUGUUUCUUUGCUAUUCUUUUACCCUUCUUGGUCAGAACGAUGUAGUGGGAGCUGCAAGCUUCACGUGCUCAACUUUGGCAGAGAACUUUGGCAAAGUUAUCUGUGGUACCCAUGCGCUACUGUUGCGUGUGGGAAGUGGGUGAUUGAACAGUAAGAUUCAUGUGCUUUCUACUUCACCAGAAGUCUUCGACAAAAUGCCCAUAAUUUCCACAAAGCUGAGUGUGCGUGUAAUAGGUGCUGACAAGGCUGGAAAAGUAGGUGCCUCUUCGAUUUCUGAGAUCGGCCCUCGUGGUCUCUGAGCAGCCCAUCUUUUGAGAAAGCAAGCGUCUCUUUGAUUUCUGAGAUCGGCCUUCGUGGUCUUUGAACAGCCCAGCUUUUGAGAAAGCAAACUUCUCUUCGAUUUCUGAGAUCAACCCUCGUGGUCUCUGAGCAGCUCAGCUUUUGAGAAAGCAAACGCCUCUUCGAUUUUUGAGCAGACGCCUCUUCGAUUUCUGAAGCUCCGUCGAGUGCAGAUUUUUAUAGGGGCUGACAUUAAGUUCCAAAGCACACUUGAAUCUCCACCAGUAGAAGCUCCAUUCUUGCACUUCUAAGAUCUUGAUUUGUCCGACCUCUUCUCUCUUCAACACCUUUGAAAAUGUCUAGCCCCUCCGACCGUCGUUUUGACUUGAACCUUGUUGAAGAGGCAGCCCCGCCUUCUCCAGACAACAUAUGGCGCCCAUCCUUCGUCUCCCC